This 1108-nucleotide long non-coding RNA is filed under the name Pogona vitticeps (central bearded dragon). Its description in RNAcentral is "lncRNA (ENSPVIG00000007450.1)". Lineage: Eukaryota; Metazoa; Chordata; Lepidosauria; Squamata; Agamidae. The record is from RNAcentral.
UCCUUUUUUCAAUUUGCCGGCUGGAGAUAGGGGUGACCUGUUUCUCUUAUUUAUGAAGUUUAGUAUGUGUUUUUUUUCCCUUUACUUUUUUUAAAAAAAGUGUUACAAUCUUUUUGAGAUAAACGGCAGUCUGAAAAAGGGAGAAGGAGCUGAAAUGAGCGAGAGAUUCUUUCCGGCAGCCAAAAAAUGUGGACAUGGAUUACAAUUAGCUUCAUAUCCCCAGCGAAAGGGACAAGAAUGUCUGGGUGGGAAUCUAUGUACAGUAUUUGUAUCAUAUUUCAAUAUAUUUCUUUGCUAAAAUCCUGGUAGGGCAAGAGGUUCUGAAAGAAACUGAAUUUAUUUGAAAUGCUGUAAAUGAUCAAUUGUAAUUGACCACCCAGUUCUACACCCAGGAAAUUAAGAGGAUUUCCUAUAAACUGUAAGAUAAUUUUCUUUCUUUCUUUCUUUCUUUCUUUCUUUCUUUCUGGGAAAUGUACUUCUUUCAUCAGAAGGGAGGAUAUUAUGAAACCAGCGGAACGAAAAGAAAAGAAGGAACGUAAAAUAGAGGUUCCUAAUUAGAAUAAAAGGUUGUAAUAACGAAUUAGGAAUACAGCUGUUGGCUUGAAUCGUCGAAUCUUCGGAAAUCCGUUCCACUGAGUUGAUCGGAAAUUUAUCCCGUGGAAAAAUGAACAAGCGCAACAGAAAAGUAUUAACAUCGGAAAUCUUCGGGGAAAAAGGAAACAGUUGGAAUUUACUGAAUACGGUUGAGAAAACUCCCCGCAUGCAGUUGCGGGGCGAAAACUGUGCUACCCCAUGUAAAGAAGAGGGGAGUUAAAUUUUAGCUAGUAAGAAAGGAAUCGAAGAAAUAGACGUAAAACUGGAAGAAGGAGCCGAAGGCGCUGAUCAGGAGACAGAAACGAAACAGGCAGAAAUCCUGAUUUUGUGUCUUAUUUUUUUUCCCCUGGAGCAAAAUCGAAUUGGAUUUUGGAGUUAAACGGGGCGAGGCUGAGAAUCGGGACCUUUGAUUCCCACGGGAAAAUGAACCUUGGUUUUCUAACGUCUUCCCUCCUUCCUUCCCUCCCUCUGUUUUUGGAAUAAAAUUCCAGACGCCUUGGUUUAAUAUAUAUAU